GGCGAAUAUGCCCAAAUGUGAGGCUGUGAUAAAUUGUUUUCAAUAUAUCGCGGUGAUUUCAAAUUCUUCCCGUCCUCCUCUUCCUUGGGACACCUAUAUUAAGGACCCGAAACACCAUCGGUUUUCCAUUCAAUUACCAAUUGUAAAAGCUUUCCGAACUAUUGGAAAUCCAAAAUUCUAUUUUUCUAUUUCUAGAGCUUUCUCUUGCUCAGCAAUGGCGUUCAAGAAAACCCUAGCUAUGCGCCUCUUCAGAAUCUCGAAAAUAUCAAAUCAGUCCCUGGAGAACUGUCGCAUUUCCUCUCCGCCCGUCCAGACCCGAAUCCCUCAAAACCCGGGCAAAACCAACAUUGCUCCUGAUCCAGGAGAUAAUGGCAUAUUCGGGCGGUUGUUCCACAAGAGAGCCAUUUUCCAGAUGCCUAUCUCGUCGGAUCUCCGGGGAUUCCAAAUCGGGGAGAACCUGGUGGAAAAACUCAGGUUGUUUGACAUCUUAAAGGAUAGAAUCAACUUGGACGGUCAGAUACCUCCGGAAACCAAGUAUUUAGAUGGAUCUCGGCAGGCGAGGGAAUCGGAGAAGGAGGGUUUGACGGUGGAGGACGCGAAGAAGUUACUGAGGGCGGCGCAAUUAGAUAUGGUGAAAUCAAGGCUCAGAGAGGUGCAGAAUAGCUGGAUACCUUAUUCUGAUUUCCUUCGGAUCUGCGGAGAAGGCUGUUCGGAUCGUGAACAAGGAAUUCGGAUCGCGAAAACGCUUGAUGAAUCCGGAACUGUAAUCAUCUUGGGAAAUAUCGUGUUUCUCAAGCCAGAGCAGGUAAAAUUAUUUGUACCAUUUGAUUCCAAUUCCAAUUUAUAAUUGAAUAUGUUAUUUCUGCUUAUUAAUUUGUUUUACAGAUAAACAUUAGCAAUAGCAUGCAUACAUAUGGUCGUUGCAAAGUGAUUUCAAUUAACCAGAUAAUUACAUUCCUUAUUUUUAAGCCUUUUAAACUUGGGGACUACCGAAAACUGAUGCGGUUUUAUGAUUAUUUUUUUGUGUGUUUUCUUUUUCGACAGGAGAAUGAAACUUUGUUGUUACGCAAGAUCAGUUUCCACAGUGACAAGAUUUGUUUCACCUGUGCCAUAAGGCCUAUGGGAUCAAACCCAGAAACCUUUGCCUUGCCACCUGACCUGCCCACCCCAAAAUUUAAUUACAACAUAUAAUUUUAUUAAAUUAAAAUGAAGAAUGUGAAGGGGAAAAUGGGUAUUUUUUGACGGGAAAGGAAAAAAAAUUUUGAAGGGAGGGUCCUGGUUUAUUUGAUGAGGAAAGAAAAAAGAUUUGCCUACAUUUAAAACUAAUGAUCUGAUUAAAAGAAAUCAACAUUAGCUUUAUAAUGAAUUAGAGAUUUUUAUUCCUUAUUCUUGAUAUGUCACAGAAGAGAACAGAAAGGAAUCAGUGUUUUUAUGUCCUUUCCCCUUUUACCCAUUUUGAAGCUCUUGGCUUUUUCUGGCUCAAUUUCGUCCGUUUUGUUUUUUGUCCUUUCUGUUUUUGAAGAGUCUAGCACAGUAAUGUGGUUUACAGAUCGACCAGAUUUUAUCAAAUGGCGUGCUAACAUUCACAGCUGUUUUCUUUAAACUUUUUGUUUUUCACUAAUUAUUUUAUAAUAGUUCACUUGUAUUUCAGUGUUCUCCAUUCUGAAGUUUAAGGGUUUUCUAAGCUUGUUCUAAUUUACUGUUAUAUAAAAGCCAGUAAAGAGUUGUAUAGAGGUAUGUUUUACCCAAACAAAAUUUCUUGUUUCUUAUUGUUAUUACAGGUGGUGAAAGCCAUUGGAGGACUAAUCCCAUUGCCAGCAACCAGCCCCAACGAUCCAAGAAGAAAGGAGCUAGAACACAUGGAGAAACAGAAAGUUGCAAUCGACAAAAAAGCUGAUGCCCUUGUUCGCCGAGAACUUUGGUGUGGGCUUGGUUAUUUUAUUGUCCAAACAGCUGCCUUUAUGAGGUUGACCUUCUGGGAACUCUCAUGGGAUGUGAUGGAGCCUAUUUGCUUCUAUGUCACAUCCUUAUAUUGCAUGGCAGGAUACGCCUUUUUCCUCAGGACAUCCAAAGACCCUUCUUUUGAAGGAUUCUACCAAAGCAGGUUUAAUGUCAAGCAGAAAAAGCUCAUGAAGCUCCACAAUUUUGAUGCCGCGAGGUAUAAUGAGCUUCGAAAAAUUUGUUACCCCUGCUUGUCAUCUACAGGGCAGACUCCCCCUACAAUUUCUUCACUUGAUAAGGUUUGCUACUCAAAUUGAAAGAUAACAAAACAUACAAGAGAAAUAUACAGUUUUGUUUAAUUUUAGCCCUCUGUCGUGUAAUUUGAGAACUAGGUCCGGCUUCAUGUAAAUCUGACAUAGAGAGUCAUUCCCCAUUAUUUACGCUUUUAUUCUUAUGGAAAUAUGACAAACCGUUCCAGUUUCUAACUUAAAAUUAAAUUAGUCGACCAAAAACUAUUUAGCAAGUGGCAUGAGUGUCUUGCCUUCAACAAAUUGAAAGUUUUCGGACUACUACGAGUCCAGUUUGGGCCAAAUUGGAA
Molecule: unclassified non-coding RNA, 2539 nt
Filed under: Hevea brasiliensis (rubber tree)
Lineage: Eukaryota; Viridiplantae; Streptophyta; Magnoliopsida; Malpighiales; Euphorbiaceae
Source: RNAcentral